CUUAGAAAUAAGGUGCUAAUACCGCAUAAGCGCACGGAACCGCAUGGUUCUGUGUGAAAAACUACCGGUGGUACAGGAUGGUCCCGCGUCUGAUUAGCCAGUUGGCAGGGUAACGGCCGUACCAAAGCGACGAUCAGUAGCCGGCCUGAGAGGGUGAACGGCCCACAUUGGGACUGAGACACGGCCCAAACUCCUACGGGAGGCAGCAUG
RNAcentral lists this ribosomal RNA (210 nucleotides) under uncultured bacterium. RNAcentral describes it as "partial 16S ribosomal RNA". It matches the Rfam family "Bacterial small subunit ribosomal RNA", at positions 149 to 353 of the family's 1533-position model. The record is from RNAcentral.